CCAUUUCUGACUUAAAUCCACUUCUGUCAGAUUCUCAAAGACUGUCAUGGGUUGAACAGGACUUUCUGUUGGGGAUAACCCUCCCCUUUUGACUCCUCAUAUCUAAAAAGAACCAGGGAUUCACUGGAUAAUGAUGAACAUAGAUGACAUUAAUAGGGAUUAAGAGAAACAGUGGCCCUAUCAUGGACCCCUGUGGAGCCACCAUUACUGGACAUAAUUCCCUGCGGUUCAAAGAUGCACCAUUGAAAGCAUAAUGGGUUGGUACGGCAACUGCUUUGUCCAGGACUGUAAGAAACUACAGAGGUUGUGUGCGUAGCCCAGACCACCAUAGAAGCCAACCUUCCAUCCAUGGACUCUACUUACACUACUUGUUGCUGAAGAAAAGCUGCCAGCAUCAUCAAAGUCCCAUCCCACCCUACUGAUGCUCUCCUACAACCUCUUCGUCAGACAGAAGAUACAGAAGCCCGAACACACGAACAGCUUCAUCCCAGCUGUUAUUAGACUGAUGAAUGGACUCUGUAACUUCAAAUAGUACUAAUCUUGUUAAUGUUGAUUUUGCCUAGUGUACAUCCUGUGCGGCGUAACCUCUAUGCCACACUCAAAAGUUUUUUUCACCCUAUGAUCUGUGUGUCCCUGCCCACUGUGUCUGUACUGCUUGCAAACAAAGCUUUUCACUGUACUUCGUUACACAUGACAAUAAGUCAAGUCAAGUCAAAUCAAGUCAAAUCAAGUCAAAUCAAAUCAAAUUGAAUAUCUUGUAUCCAGGAAUAAUUAUUACCUAGUCCUACUUAUCUUUUUGAGCAAGGUCUCUAUUAUAACAGCAGGUUAUAUUUCUAGGUGGUUGUAUGUGUUUGCAGCUCAUCUGUCUUAUUUACUAGCAUUACACUUUAGUACAUUUCCUCUUACCCCCCCUGAUACGUUACUGUUCCUUGUUGAGUAUUACUUGUGUCUCAAUUCCUUGUUUUUCUUCUACAUACCGUUGCCUCCUGGUUCCUAUUGUCCUGUCAGGUUAGUUUGAGCCCUGCCCAAUAACACUAGCAAACUGUCCUGAAGGACAAUUGGUCCAAAUAUGCACAGGUCAAACCUCCUCAGAACCGUUCUCAGUAUUCCAGGAACCUAAAUCCUGAUCUAUUUCUCCAGCUGGGCCUUUUUUCUUUAUCUGUUUGAAGGGCUUAUCCCCAUAUCUACCUCUGUUAUUGGUUUUGAUAUGAAUCAUAACUGCCAAAUGUUUCCUCUCUACCAACGCUGCAGCCAUCAGUGACAUCUUUGUCCUUGGCACCAGAAUGACAAUGUACAUUCCGUGAUCCAUGUCACCUGCCACAGCAAAGCCCUCAUUAUAGAAUUCCUCCAUCACUCUAUCUUUCCCAAUUUUCCUCCUGCACCACCCCCCUCACCCCCCUCACCCCACUCUACCCAGUCCCAUCCCGCACAUCUGAGUCAGCUGUGGCAGCAUAGACCUACCUCUAGCUGCAUUCCCUAAAGGAAUCAUUGUCCUCAGCAUCAGAGCUGAGGGGGAAUUCCUGCGCUAUCUGCUCAGUCCUCCCUGAUUGACCAGCAGUGACUCUACAAGACCGUAAGACAUCAGAGCAGAAAUUAGGCCAUUCAGCCCAUUGAGUCUGUUCUGCCAUUCAGUCAUGGCUGAUAAGGUUUCAACUCCAUUCUCCCUCUUUCUCCCUGUGACCUUUGAUUCCUUUGACAAUCAAAACCUAUUUAUUUCUGUCUUAAAUAUACUCAAUGAUCUGCCCUCCAUAGCCCUCUGAGGUAAUAAACUCCAUCGAUUCGCCACUCUCUGGCUGAAGAAGUUUCUCCUUACCUCUGUUCUGAAAGGCCUUCUCUUUACUCCACUUCCCUUUACUGUGCCCUCGGCUCCUAGUCUCUCCUGCCAAUGGAAGCAUCUUACCAACAUCCACUCUGUGCAGGCCGUUCGGUAUUCUGUAAGUUUCAAUCACAUUCCAUCUCGUUCUGUCUCUGAACAACCUUAGGCUGCAGAGUACCCACCUGCAGAAACAGCCUAUGCACAUCAUUCCCAGCCUCUGCAGUAGCACAAACCAAGCUUUGAAACCUGGAGCUUGAUCUGUUCCAACUCGUGACACUUCCUAUCUCAACAAUGCUCUGGUACAAUACCCUCGUGCAAUAUAUUUACAGUACUUAUGGGCUUUUUCAGGUUUAUGUCUACAGCAUUGCAAUCUAAUGUAUUUACACGUCAAUUUAAACAAAAUGCUUCUCUUUGAAAUUUAUCGUAUUGUAACAUCUUGAGGGUGAUAAUACUGCCUCGUUAAAAGAAAGUGCAGCAACUGAGAGAAUGAUCAUUUAUAGGCCCAAGGGAAAAUAAUGUCAGCUUAUUGCUGGCAGCAAUUUAAUA
Molecule: long non-coding RNA, 2362 nt
Organism: Stegostoma tigrinum
Lineage: Eukaryota; Metazoa; Chordata; Chondrichthyes; Orectolobiformes; Stegostomatidae
Exons: 3
Source: RefSeq, a predicted model, not a curated record